GAGGGUGGAGCUCAGUGGUAGAGCAAAUGCUUAGCAUGCACCAAGUCCUGGGUUUAACCCCCAGUACCUCCA
Camelus ferus (Wild Bactrian camel) is the source of this 72-nucleotide transfer RNA. It matches the Rfam family "tRNA". Rfam says of the family: Transfer RNA (tRNA) molecules are approximately 80 nucleotides in length. Their secondary structure includes four short double-helical elements and three loops (D, anti-codon, and T loops). The record is from Rfam. NCBI's taxonomy places the organism in Eukaryota, Metazoa, Chordata, Mammalia, Artiodactyla, Camelidae.